This 270-nucleotide ribosomal RNA is filed under the name uncultured bacterium. Its description in RNAcentral is "partial 16S ribosomal RNA". It matches the Rfam family "Bacterial small subunit ribosomal RNA", at positions 28 to 297 of the family's 1533-position model. The record is from RNAcentral.
GACGAACGCUGGCGGCGUGCUUAACACAUGCAAGUCGAGCGGUAAGGCCCUUUCGGGGGUACACGAGCGGCGAACGGGUGAGUAACACGUGGGUGACCUGCCCUCAGCUCUGGGAUAAGCCUGGGAAACCGGGUCUAAUACCGGAUAUGACUCCAUGACGCAUGGUUGUGGGGUGGAAGCCUUGUGCGGCUGAGGAGUGGGCCCGCGGCCUAGUCAGCUUGUUGGUGGGGUGAUGGCCUACCAAGGCGACGACGGGUAGCCGGCCUGAGA